Molecule: long non-coding RNA, 351 nt
Filed under: Solanum tuberosum (potato)
Lineage: Eukaryota; Viridiplantae; Streptophyta; Magnoliopsida; Solanales; Solanaceae
Description: long non-coding RNA (STUB_LNC007418)
Source: RNAcentral
CAUGCUACUAUAACAAUUUAAUUCACAAGUGUAUAUAUAACUUAAUAUGUUUCUUCAUCCAAAAAAGCAUAACAUGAUUCAAGUAUACAUUAUUAAUUCAAUUUACUCUAUUAUAGGAGGUUAUUAUUCUAUUUUUCAUGUUACCUUACAAGCUUGAUAUGAUAGAUAAUAAUGUUUCAUCCAAAGGACUCACAAGUCCAUAAUUUGAGUGAAUUUGGUAAUCAGAAAAAUAAAUAAUGGAUCCAAUAUUGUACAAUGUGGCAAAGAACGGCAGGAAAUAGAUUUUAAAUAAAUUAGGACCUUCCCUCGAAAUUCAAUUUUAGGCCAUCAAAAGUAUUGAACCGCUCAUGU